This 786-nucleotide ribosomal RNA is filed under the name uncultured Bacillus sp. RNAcentral's name for it is "bacterial SSU rRNA". It matches the Rfam family "Bacterial small subunit ribosomal RNA", at positions 132 to 913 of the family's 1533-position model. The record is from RNAcentral. Lineage: Bacteria; Bacillati; Bacillota; Bacilli; Caryophanales; Bacillaceae.
GUAAGACGGGAUAACUCCGGGAAACCGGUGCUAUACGGAUAGAUUAUCUUUCGGCUGGAGAGAUAAGGAAAGAUGGCUAUGCCAUCACUUACAGAUGGGCCGCGCGCAUUAGCUAGUGGUGAGGUAACGGCUCACCAAGGCGACGAUGCGUAGCCGACUGAGAGGGUGAUCGGCCACACUGGGACUGAGACACGGCCCAGACUCUACGGGAGGCAGCAGUAGGGAAUCUUCCGCAAUGGACGAAAGUCUGACGGAGCAACGCCGCGUGAGUGAAGAAGGUCUUCGGAUCGUAAAGCUCUGUUGUUAGGGAAGAACAAGUAUCGGAGGAAAUGCCGGUACCUUGACGGUACCUGACGAGAAAGCCACGGCUAACUACGUGCCAGCAGCCGCGGUAAUACGUAGGUGGCAAGCGUUGUCCGGAUUUAUUGGGCGUAAAGCGCGCGCAGGCGGUCCUUUAAGUCUGAUGUGAAAUCUUGCGGCUCAACCGCAAGCGGUCAUUGGAAACUGGGGGACUUGAGUGCAGAAGAGGAAAGCGGAAUUCCACGUGUAGCGGUGAAAUGCGUAGAGAUGUGGAGGAACACCAGUGGCGAAGGCGGCUUUCUGGUCUGUAACUGACGCUGAGGCGCGAAAGCGUGGGGAGCAAACAGGAUUAGAUACCCUGGUAGUCCACGCCGUAAACGAUGAGUGCUAAGUGUUGGAGGGUUUCCGCCCUUCAGUGCUGCAGCUAACGCAUUAAGCACUCCGCCUGGGGAGUACGGUCGCAAGACUGAAACUCAAAUGAAUUGA